This 579-nucleotide ribosomal RNA is filed under the name Triticum aestivum (bread wheat). RNAcentral describes it as "partial small subunit ribosomal RNA". The record is from RNAcentral. Lineage: Eukaryota; Viridiplantae; Streptophyta; Magnoliopsida; Poales; Poaceae.
AUGUACCUAUUGUCUGCAAAACCAGAGAUUCUAAUGGCCGGCACAAGGCGGAAUCUGUUCACGGCCGCCUACCACAAACUCAAGGAAAUUCUCAAGUGCGGCCUACAACCACCGGUGGAGCAACGAGUGCGGGGGCAACCCAUGGCCAUGGGACUGGGAAGGUUCUUGUACCGCUGCAUGAAUUCAAAAGAAGAAAAAGAGCAACAGAUGCUGGAGGAAAAAUCAGUUGCAGAGAGAAUAUUCACCAAGAUGGAGACGUCACCAGCUGAAGAAGGUCUCGUACAUGACGCCUGGAUUCUUGCUAAAGGGCUCUUGGGGUUAGAGGAUGAGAAGAAAAUGUGGGAGGUGAUCGAAGCCGUGUGGGUGGAGAUGCUCUGCUACUCUGCCAGCAGAUGCCGGGGGCGCCUACACGCUAAGAGCUUGGGCACUGGCGGGGAGCUGCUCACCUUCGUUUGGCUCCUGUGGUCGCACAUGGGGAUGGAAACCUUGGCGGAGAGGAUGCAGAUGCCGGAGGUGGAGAUUCCAGGCGCAGGAGGAAAUGCUGGCCCUGCCUUCAGACAAGACGGUAGCGGUGUUUGA